GCGGAUGUAGUUCAAUGGUAGAACACUAGCUUCCCAAGCUAGGAACGCGGGUUCGAUUCCCGUCAUCCGCUCCA
Molecule: transfer RNA, 74 nt
Filed under: Thermoactinomyces intermedius
Lineage: Bacteria; Bacillati; Bacillota; Bacilli; Caryophanales; Thermoactinomycetaceae
Also listed under: 10 other names
Description: tRNA-Gly
Rfam family: tRNA
About the family: Transfer RNA (tRNA) molecules are approximately 80 nucleotides in length.
Source: RNAcentral